Molecule: ribosomal RNA, 639 nt
Filed under: uncultured bacterium
Lineage: Bacteria
Description: bacterial SSU rRNA
Rfam family: Bacterial small subunit ribosomal RNA (bases 1-538)
Source: RNAcentral
CCUACGGGAGGCAGCAGUAAGGAAUAUUGGUCAAUGGACGCAAGUCUGAACCAGCCAUGCCGCGUGAAGGAUGAAGGUCCUCUGGAUUGUAAACUUCUUUUAUAGGGGACGAAACCUCUUUUUCUAAAGAGACUGACGGUACCCUAGGAAUAAGCACCGGCUAACUCCGUGCCAGCAGCCGCGGUAAUACGGAGGGCGCAAGCGUUAUCCGGAUUCACUGGGUUUAAAGGGUGCGUAGGAGGGCAGGUAAGUCAGUGGUGAAAUCUCCGAGCUUAACUUGGAAACUGCCGUUGAUACUAUCUGUCUUGAAUAUUGUGGAGGUGAGCGGAAUAUGUCAUGUAGCGGUGAAAUGCUUAGAUAUGACAUAGAACACCAAUUGCGAAGGCAGCUCGCUACACAUAUAUUGACUCUGAGGCACGAAAGCGUGGGGAUCAAACAGGAUUAGAUACCCUGGUAGUCCACGCCCUAAACGAUGGAUACUCGACAUACGCGAUACACAGUGUGUGUCGUGAGACGAAGACAUUAAGUACUACCCACCCGUACGGAAGGUACGACCGACCGACGUUAGUAACGUACGAAGUAGUAAGUUAGUACGGACGUAGAGACGUUACGCCGACGGACGACGACGAGGGAGGUAGG